Molecule: unclassified non-coding RNA, 176 nt
Organism: Chelonoidis abingdonii (Abingdon island giant tortoise)
Lineage: Eukaryota; Metazoa; Chordata; Testudines; Testudinidae
Source: Ensembl
UUGAUAGCUUUGCAGACUGAUGUCUUCCUGUUAGCCCUAGACCAAGUAUAGCACUGGCAACAGCAGCAGUGAAAGAUACUCCACACUGCUCUGUCUGCCAACGUGCCUCCAGCCUGACCUGGAGGAGCUCACUGGAAGGUAUAAACUGUUAACUGAACUCACCAACAAGGGCUCUA